RNAcentral lists this non-coding RNA (28 nucleotides) under Rattus norvegicus (Norway rat). The record is from RNAcentral. Lineage: Eukaryota; Metazoa; Chordata; Mammalia; Rodentia; Muridae.
UCCUCAGCAAACAAUGCAUCCUCUGAGG